Molecule: long non-coding RNA, 2553 nt
Filed under: Olea europaea subsp. europaea
Lineage: Eukaryota; Viridiplantae; Streptophyta; Magnoliopsida; Lamiales; Oleaceae
Source: RNAcentral
UGUUUGUUGCCAUUUUUUAUUUUUUUUUAUUGUUUUGGGUUUAUCUUUACAACUAUUUUUUUCUUUAAAAACCAUUCCUAUCUGAACUGAGCCAUACAUCGCUACAACAGUCAACCAUAAUUUCUUUCUUAUCUGUUAUAGGCUUCUUUCUCUCUCCCAUUUCUUCUCACUCUUUCUCCAUUUUCACGCACAAACUAUCGUUCUUCUUUGUUUCACUUCCCCCACAGAAUCACUUCAUCUCUAUUUUUCAUUUUUCUCUGACGAUUUCUUUACAUAUACUGCUUCAUUUAGCCAGAGGUACCAUCCAAAAAAUCUUAAUCUUUUGUUUUUAUUUUCUUUUGUAGAGGUUUGAAAUUUUCAUCGUCGAGAAAGUAUACGAUCAAGAGGAUGAUUGAAAAAAGAGUUUUGGUAAGUAAAUGUUAAUUUGCUACUAUGAAUCGAAUGUAUAGUGGUCGGAUUUUACUAUUUGGACCAUCCUAAAAAUUCAAACAUUUUUUUCGGCAGGGUUUCAACUUUUCAUUGUCUAAUAUAUGAGAUUGAGCAAGAACUUGGUCGAAAUAUAACCAAGCAAGAGUCUUAUCUAUUGGGUUUGUUGAUCCAAAAAUGAUAAUUUUCCUUUUCCUUUGAUGCAUUUAUUAUUUGUUCCACGUAUUUUCAUCUAGAACUUUCUGGCUGUAGAAAGGUUUGUUAUUUUCUUUUAAAAUUUUUUUUUUAUAAAUUUGUUACAUUUAUUUUUGAACUUUUUUCGAUCUGAAAUGUUCAAAUGUUUUUUAUUACUGAACGAUCUCCAGAUGCUUAAGGAGCUCCAAACUGUUAUCAAAUGAGGCCCAUCCUAUUUGUUGCCAUCACGCCGCAACCUCCUGCAAAGUUAAUUUAAAGCCCUUUGUGCAGUCAAGUACAUGUUCCCCAUUUCGCCUGACAAUACAUCUUUGCGAUCAGUAGUUAAUUCUAAUUAAUUUGACUAUUUUAUUUGGAAUUUUAUGUUUCUCCUGUGAAUUCUAGCAAUUGGAUUUGAUGUGGAAGCUUUUUUGUAUUUGAUUCCGAUUAACUAGAAUAUUAUAUCUGCAAUUUUCUCUUCCUUUUUAUGAAUUGUAGCUAUUGGAUUUUGUGUGGAUACAUUUUUGCAGUUCGUAUUUGAUUUUGAAUAAUUAUACUGUAAUUUCUCUUGGCAUCAUGAAUUCAAGCAAUUGGAUUUUGUGGUGACAUUUUUGCGACCAGUAUUUGGUUAUGAUAAUAUGAUUGAUUAGAAUGUUUCAUCCGCAAUUAUUUCUUCGCUUAAGGAAUUAUAGGAAUUGGGUUUUGUAUGGAUACAUCUCUACUAUUGGUAGUAGAUUCUGACAAAUUGGAAUUUAUUUGCAAUUAAAAUAAAUGAACUGUGUUGGUAACUCCCUAAACUUCAAAAAAUUAUUUUUAUUAUUCUUCUCGGGACAUUUGCACAUUUUUCUUCACAAAUAAAGCAAGAGAUGUACUCAACUACAUGAUGUAGUUGAACCUAUGAUAUUUUUACCUGAUGUUGAGAUCUAGCCUACAUUCUAAAGUUCUGUUGGUGCACAUUAUCUUAACGCGACACAAUCAUCUAGAUCCAGUAGUUAAAAAAGAUACAUGGGCUGAAGAGAAAUUAUUAGUCCUGGCUUCUUAUCACCAAUUAUAUGGAAAUAAAUGGACAGAAUCGCAAGUUUGUUGUGUAAAUUUUCUAAUAGCUCGAUCAUACUUGAUUUUAACAUAAAAUUCUACAUUUUAUCAUUUUCUUCUAAUAUGCUUUUUGCUGGAAGUUCAGUAUCAUGUUCAAAAAUUUUCGAGAUUGUAAUAUAUCCUCUCUCUUUGUUGCUCUGUUUUCUUCUGUGCUUUGAUAACCUUGCCCAUAUUAUUAAUUUUCUUGAACUGUUCAAUUAAAGAUGAUCGCUGAAAUUGAAAUGCUAAUGUGCCUAUGGUCAACUAAGAUCUUGCUUGGGUGGGCAACUAUAGAUAUGAGAAAGAAAAGGUUUUCCAGGCUCUCUCUUAUAUUUAUAAUCUUACUUAUAAGCCACCCUAAACAUGCUCUAAUUUGGUCUCUUAACUCAUGAUGAUGGGAAAUCAGUAUAUAUGUUAGGCAUAUUUUGUGUUUUUAUCUAGCUUUAGGAUCAAUUCAGUGUAUAGAGUAAAGCAAAUGAUAGAUGGUAUCCUUUUUUAAUCUUAUCGAAGAGUCAUUUGGAAGAGACUUUUUUAUCCAUGUGAAAUUUUGUUAUUGUUUUAACGAACUUGACUAUUCCAAUAUGAGAAUUUGGAAAAGAAAAAAUCCGGUAUUUAUCGUGUUAAAGAACUGAAAUUACAACAUUAGCAUACUGCCAUCAAAUACAUCAAUGGCACAAUGGUAAUUCUAUAAUCAUUGCAUUUCAUCUACUUCUUUGUCAUAUCUUUUUUGCUUGGAGAAAUCACUUGCACCAACUAUUUUGCACCUGCUGCAUCCCACAUGUUAGCAAAAUCCAAUGCAUAUAUUGUAAAGUAUAGGAAAGGGCUUUGCCACAAGCAUUACUCCAGUUACUCUGGGAUUGACACGUCUUUUACUGAAAAUAU